This 72-nucleotide transfer RNA is filed under the name Homo sapiens (human). Its description in RNAcentral is "tRNA-Glu-TTC-14-1". The record is from RNAcentral. Lineage: Eukaryota; Metazoa; Chordata; Mammalia; Primates; Hominidae.
UCCCUGGUGGUCUGGUGGCUAGAAUUUAGCGCUUUCACCGCCGCAGCUCGGGUUGGAUUACCAGUCAGGGAA